AAUGGAUUUGAAAUUAAGCAAUCAAGAUUUGAUUGAAGUGUAGACUUUCAGUUUUAAUUCAAGGGAUUUAACAAAAGUAUUGCAUUAUCUGUUUAUGAUUUACAGCUUUUUUUUUUUUUUACAGAGUUCCUCCAUUUUCACAGGCUCAAAAGUAAUUGGACAAUUGACUGAUAAGCAGUUUCAUGGUGUGGCCUGUUUCCUCAUUAUUUCAUUGUAAAUUAAGGAGAUGAAUUUGGAGUGGGAGUUGAUUCCAAGCAUUGAAUUUGCAUUUGGUAACUGUUCAAGGGAACGCUCAUUAUACUGUCCAAAGAGGUGUCAGUACAAGUGAAGGAGGCCAUCAUUAGGCUGAAAAAGCAAAACAGUCCUAUCAGUGAGAUAGCAGAAACUUUAGUGGAGUGGCCAAAUCAACAAUUUGGUAAUGUACAUUCUUAAAAAGAAGGAAUGCACUGGUGAGAUCAGCAACAUCAUAAGGCCUGGAAACCACAGAAGACAACUAAAGUGGAUGAUAUCAGAAUUCUUUUCUUGUUGAAGAAAAAUCCUAUCACAACAUCUAGCCAAGUCAAGAACACUCUGAAGGAGGUAGCCGUAUCAUUGUCAAAGUCUACAAUCAAGAGACACCUUCAUGAAUGUAAAUAGAGACGGUUUAUGCCGAGUUCACACUGCACGGUUUUCAAAGUCGUCGGAUCAUCGUUGUUGUCACACUGCACGACUAUCUGGGGUAGCAUUCAGUCGCUGCUGUGUUCACAUUGCACUAUGGAUCGGCGACAGGAGGUUACACAGUGCAUGACUUUACAGUAGAAAGAAUCGCCGACAACUCUUUCUGGCUCGCAAACUAAGUUUCACACCCAAACGCACGCGAGAAGUGAUAAGGAAAUAACGCAAGAUCGCACUUGAGAUCAGAGUUCUCGCGCGAGACUGGAAAUGGUACCCCGCAAGAAGUUCGCGAUCCAAAUGGUCUGUGCGCUGAUUUGCAGCGAAAGGGCAAAAAAGAAAAAAAGAUAGUGGAGCAGGAAAUGGUUGGGGAGACGCGGGGAACAAGGAUUGUGCGUUCUGCAAAGAGAGUUGGAGACUGGAUUCAAGAAGCUUCUUCGGAUGACAGCAGAGGAGUUUGACAUCCUGCUUGGGAUGGUUGGACCUGUCAUAACCAAGCAGCACAGACAGAUGAGACGGGCAGUAUCCCCAAAAGAGCGCCUAGCUGUGACCAUACGGUUUUUGGCAACAGGCGAAACGUUCAGUUCCCCCAGUUUCCAAUACAGGGUAUAAGCACUAUUUCUAACAUCGUUAUGGAGACCUGUGCUGCUCUCUACCGGGUCAUGAAAAAAGACUUCCUCAAGACACCCACAACAGAGGCAGAAUGGCGGAAAAUAGCACAUGACUUUCAAUCUAAAUGGCAAUUCCCACAUUACUUAGGUGCGCUUGAUGGUAAACACAUCCGUAUACAGCCUCCAGCAAAAAGUGGUAGUCUUUACCAUAAUUACAAGUCCAGCUUCUCUGUAAUAAUGAUGGCUGCUGUGGAUGCCAAUUACAAGUUCAUCUAUGCCAGUGUGGGUACCCAAGGUAGAGUUUCUGACGCUGGACUGUUUGCUCAUUCAGACUUGUGCCAAGCGAUGGAUCAAGGCCUGCUGGUUAAGAGUUUUUAGGAGCACCAUAUGCUUGGAGCCAGAGAAACUAUGGCCUCCCUAUGCAUCCAUAACUUUCUCCGUGAGCGCAGGUCUGAGGCAUACACGCCUCCAGCCUUUGCUUGGAGGAAUCAAGGGAUCGAGUCUUUCCAAACAGUGGAUCAUCGAAGGGAACGCAAUGCAUCUGUUGUGGCAAAAAUGCAACGAAACCUUCUGCGUGAGUAGUUCGUCUCACCUGCCGGAUAUGUUCCUUGGCAGGAGAAACACAUUUAGUGUUGUAAGGAUGUCAGAGUGUAACUUUUUGUAGUGGAGAAAACACUGCGUUUUUUAUUAUGAUAUUUCAUAUUGUAGCACAAUGUCAUUUUUUUAUUUUGAAGAAGAAGAAGAAAAGUGCCUUUCUUAAAAAGCAUGGUGCUUCUGUUAUUGAUAUUAGCCUUUUAGGCACAGAAUGCUAUUUAUAUACUGUAUCUUCAGACAAUACAACUUGGGUGUACUUUAAAAUCAUUGUUUCAAAUAUCAUGUAAAACUGAAGACUUGACGCACAUACCUCCUGCAUGUGUACUGUGAAUUCUGCCUGUUAAUGAAAAUAUAAAAUAUAUUUUCUGAUUAUUUUCCACAUUCGCGGGGCUGUCGCAUUACCCUGUGGCUUGGCUGUCUCUUGGGAGGCCGCCUGGUUGGCCUCUGACGUGAAUUUCCCUUGGGAGGCCGCCUCGCUGCCUGUGUUCGGCCGAUACACAGAUUGAAGCCUUCCUCCAAAAGAUUUUUUGAGGGAGCCCAGCAUAGAGCUGGCCAUUGGUUCUCCUGGAUCUGCUUGGCCUGGUCAGACAUGAUUUGAAUAAACUAAGCUGCAUCCAUGGUUAGGUCUAACAUUUUGUCAUGGAUUCUGCACAUGCGCAUGUGCAGAGUAUUUUAUUUAAAGUGCAACACACGUGAACAAGGAUUAAGACUACGUAUUAGAAACACAGACAAACUGGACAGGCAUGAAAUGUACAUGACCAAGGCAUGGAUAUAACAAUAGACAAAGAGAACUAUACAAAUGUGACUUAUAUACUCAUGCUCAUUGUGCAUAAAUGUUUCAGGUGUUUGUGAUCAUGUGACUUGUGUGAUGUGAACAUGUGGUGUGCAGUGGCUGUAGUCCUGCACCACUGUCAGUGCUAACCUGAUAAAAAGCUACUUUAACCACACUUUUAAAGUGGCUAAUGGUGCUGUUCUACUAUAGUGAACUUCAAACAUUCAUGCAACAUUUUGGACUGAAAUUGCAGUACAAAAAAACGAAAAUAGUGAGUAGUGUUAUUACAAGCUAGCCAGUGGACAAAAGCAACCCAGUGAGCACUGGAAGAUGUCUGGAAAAGAUCUCGAACUCUACUAUAGAUCAAGUUUUAUUUUAAUCAUCUUAUUUAGGUCGUAAGAAGGUCUCAGAGCACUGCCUGUGUCACACGCUCACUGACCUGCCUGAGAGCUCACCUGCACCAACAGAAUCAGCAGAUCAACUGAAAUUUACCUCAGACUGAGCAUUAGCUAACCUCAGACUGCUCAGUCUGAGGUUUGUAUUAACUAGUUGUAUAACUAGUAUUGUAUUGCUAACUAGUGUAUCUUUCUAACCUAGUCAUUUUCGAUAAAGCUUUUAGUGGUGAAGAACAGUGUUUUUUCUUUCUCUCGCUUUCUGUAUGUUUGUGUGUGUAGGUGAGUCAGUCAUGCUCCACAACAGGGAUUUUAUAUCUAUAUAUUAACAGUUAUAUUUUUAUUGUUUUAUAUACAUACAUACAUUAUAUAUAUAUACACACACACACACACAUAUAUAUAUAUAUAUAUAUGUGAAACCAUCUAUAAAAGGUCUACCAUCUAUAAAAGCUAUAAAAGGAGCUCGCACCCACGCUACCAACAGGAAGGUAAGUGAAGUAAAUAGUCUUCACUAACGGCUAUCUCCCCGGCGUUCACAGACGCAGCUAUAAGUGAGGACGGCACUCUGUUGCUGCUUUAAAAGCACCCUGCUGCCGAGACUUCACUGCCUAUACUCAGCCUCACUCCCCACACUUCGCCCUUUCACCAUUCCUCACUCUGCCAACUUAAAAAAUAGAAAAUAAAGAACGCAUCCCCUGCACUGACUGCCUCUGUGAGUGUGUGUUCAGCCUUUCCUUGAUCCCGCAACGUCACA
Molecule: long non-coding RNA, 3774 nt
Organism: Pangasianodon hypophthalmus (striped catfish)
Lineage: Eukaryota; Metazoa; Chordata; Actinopteri; Siluriformes; Pangasiidae
Exons: 4
Source: RefSeq, a predicted model, not a curated record